This 253-nucleotide ribosomal RNA is filed under the name uncultured bacterium. Its description in RNAcentral is "partial 16S ribosomal RNA". It matches the Rfam family "Bacterial small subunit ribosomal RNA", at positions 524 to 776 of the family's 1533-position model. The record is from RNAcentral.
UACGGAGGGAGCUAGCGUUGUUCGGAAUUACUGGGCGUAAAGGGCUCGUAGGCGGCCAACUAAGUCAGACGUGAAAUCCCUCGGCUUAACCGGGGAACUGCGUCUGAUACUGGAUGGCUUGAGAUUGGGAGAGGGAUGCGGAAUUCCAGGUGUAGCGGUGAAAUGCGUAGAUAUCUGGAGGAACACCGGUGGCGAAGGCGGCAUCCUGGACCAACACUGACGCUGAGGAGCGAAAGCCAGGGGAGCAAACGGG